Molecule: ribosomal RNA, 497 nt
Filed under: uncultured bacterium
Lineage: Bacteria
Description: partial 16S ribosomal RNA
Rfam family: Bacterial small subunit ribosomal RNA
Source: RNAcentral
GAUGAACGCUGGCGGCGUGCCUAAUACACGCAAGUCGAACGAAAAGACGAGGAGCUUGAUCUGCUGACGUUAGCGGCGGACGGGUGAGUAACACGUGGACAACUCCCCUAUAAGACUGGGAUACCUUCGGGAAACCGGAGCUAAUACCGGCUAACAUCUUGUACCGCCUGGGUCAAUUGUGGAAGACGGUUUUGCUGUUACCUAUAGAUGGAUUCGCGCCUCAUUAGCUAGUUGGUAAGGUAAAGGCUUACCAAGGCAACGAUGCGUAGCUGACCUGAGAGGGUGAGCGGCCACACUGGAACUGAGACACGGUCCAGACUCCUACGGGAAGCAGCAGUAGGGAAUUUUCCGCAAUGGGCGAAAGCUUGACGGAGCAACGCCGCGUGAGUGAUGAAGGUCUUCGGAUCGUAAAGCUCUUUUAUUAGGGAAGAACAAAUGUGUAAGUAACUAUGCACGGCUUGACGGUACCUAAUCAGAAAGCCACGGCUAACUACGUG